AUUGAACGCUGGCGGAAUGCUUUACACAUGCAAGUCGAGCGGCAGCGCGGGGCAACCUGGCGGCGAGCGGCGAACGGGUGAGUAAUACAUCGGAACGUGCCCAGACGUGGGGGAUAACUACUCGAAAGAGUGGCUAAUACCGCAUACGAACUGAGGUUGAAAGCAGGGGAUCGCAAGACCUUGCGCUGAUGGAUGAGCCGAAGUCGGAUUAGCUAGUUGGUGAGGUAAUGGCUCACCAAGGCUUCGAUCUGUAGCUGGUCUGAGAGGACGGCCAGCCACACUGGCACUGAGACACGGUCCAGACUCCUACGGGAGGCAGCAGUAAGGAAUAUUGCUCAAUGGGGGAAACCCUGAAGCAGCAACGCCGCGUGAAGGAUGAAAUACUUUUGUAUGUAAACUUCUGUAAGAUGGGAAAAAUAUCUCGCUCGGUGAGAUUGAUUGUACCAUCAGAGUA
RNAcentral lists this ribosomal RNA (454 nucleotides) under uncultured bacterium. Its description in RNAcentral is "bacterial SSU rRNA". It matches the Rfam family "Bacterial small subunit ribosomal RNA", at positions 30 to 488 of the family's 1533-position model. The record is from RNAcentral.